GGGGAUUUUGGUGAUAAGGUGGAGCAGGUGCACUGAGUUGUGUGGUUUGGUGAUUGCAGAAGGGCUGCAGGUGGGUGGUUGCUGGCUUAGGGCUGCCUCCGUGGGGGCACUGCCUUGCUGUGGUGCUGGGACACAGGAGUGGAACUUGGCCUUGGCCUUAUGGGCUGGAAGAUUUGAAGCGUGCUGGCUGUGUGCCAGCAGGGAUGAAAGCAGGGCCUCAUGUUGGAGGGGUCACCUGGAGGAGGGGGCUCUGGACCCCUGGCUCACAUCUGCACUGGGACUGGCUCUGCCUUGUACUGGACCACGUCCACCUGCCUGCGAGAUUGGAUUGGCUGCAAGAAUGGGGUCAGCUCAGCCUCCCGGUAGAAUCUUAAUUACAAUUUCUUGUGUACCUGCCGACGUGGAAUCUGAUGGGUCUCUGCCUUUCUCUCCCUUCAAGUACACAGAAAGCUGACCACUGUCGGAUGCUCACGCAGCUUCAGCAGGGUGGCUGGAGAAGAAUUACAACCCAGAGGAACCUCGAGCAUGGUGGUUGGCCACAGUACUGGAAGCUCAAUAUAUGGUUUUUCUCAUCUACCUUGACAAGAAGAGCUCCUUUUUCCUAGGAUAAUACUCUCUCUCUCUCUCUAUAUAUAUAUAUAUAUAUUUUAGUAACAAUCUGACUUAUCUUUCCAACUAACUUUUGAAAGAGAGUGGCCAUCACUACGCUUUCCUCUGAGCAGAGUAAUGUAUCAGCAUGUGUUAGAUGUAAUCUGGGAACGCUUCCCUCCUGGAGGCCUCACGGGGUGAAGUGGGGAAUGUCGACCUUCAGAGCCUCGGUGGAGCAGACGACAUGCCUGGCUGCUCGGCUGGGCCAGGGCUGAGGCAAUCCUGGGUUUGCAAAAGGGUCCAAAACCAGAGGAAACUUUUAAAAUCAAAAAGUGACAGCACGUGUAGUUCAGAGGCCUCUGAGGUGAGGCAAUAAAUGAUGAGUGGUUUCCA
RNAcentral lists this long non-coding RNA (981 nucleotides) under Anser brachyrhynchus (Pink-footed goose). Its description in RNAcentral is "lncRNA (ENSABRG00000000640.1)". Lineage: Eukaryota; Metazoa; Chordata; Aves; Anseriformes; Anatidae. The record is from RNAcentral.